UGCGUAGGUGGUUGGUUAAGUUUGAGGUGAAAGCUCUGAGCUCAACUCGGAAAAUGCCUUGAAGACUAUCUGACUAGAGGAUUGGAGGGGAGAUUGGAAUUCUCGGUGUAGCAGUGAAAUGCGUAGAUAUCGAGAGGAACACCAGUGGCGAAGGCGAAUCUCUGGACAAUUCCUGACACUGAGGCACGAAAGCCAAGGGAGCAAACG
This 207-nucleotide ribosomal RNA is filed under the name uncultured bacterium. RNAcentral describes it as "partial 16S ribosomal RNA". It matches the Rfam family "Bacterial small subunit ribosomal RNA", at positions 568 to 774 of the family's 1533-position model. The record is from RNAcentral.